UAAAUAGCCCGGCCGGCUUUGGCUGGUCGCUGGCUUCUUAGAGGGACUAUCGGCGUUUAGCCGAUGGAAGUUGGAGGCAAUAACAGGUCUGUGAUGCCCUUAGAUGUUCUGGGCCGCACGCGCGCUACACUGACAGAGCCAGCGAGUUCUUUUCCUUGACCGGAAGGUCUG
Molecule: ribosomal RNA, 171 nt
Filed under: Bensingtonia sp.
Lineage: Eukaryota; Fungi; Basidiomycota; Agaricostilbomycetes; Agaricostilbales; Kondoaceae
Description: partial small subunit ribosomal RNA
Rfam family: Eukaryotic small subunit ribosomal RNA
Source: RNAcentral